UGAUUAACUGCACAUGAAAUAUUCAAAUGAGAAUAGAUGUAGAAGUAGAAAAGCAAGAUGAAGGAUGGAAGAAUAUUGCUGAAAAAGCCUUUUUAUUUUGUUGCACAUUCCAUUUCUAUUGUUGUGUUCCGUAGGAGUGGCCUGUACCGUUCUCUAGUUCCUUUCACUACAGAAUGAAUUCAGACACAUGGAGGGAGAGUAAAGUUUGUUUUAUUAAAUCAUGCACAUCACAAGUGUUAGUGCAAAUAGUUUAAUCUGUACUCCAGAAAUUAUAUUGUACUUUCCAUAUCUUUACAAAAUAGAUUUUAAACAAUUAUUUACUUAAAAAAAUGUAAUUCUGAACUUUAGCAUCUCAGGACAAUAUUUGCAAACAAAUUAUGUACAGGAAGGUACUCGGACGCGCCUCUCUGUACAGGAAGGUACUCGGACGCGCCUCUCUGUACAGGAAGGUACUCGGACGCGCCUCUCUGUACAGGAAGGUACUCGGACGCGCCUCUCUGUGCAGGAAGGUACUCGGACGCGCCUCUCUGUGCAGGAAGGUACUCGGACGCGCCGCUGGCAAAUUAGCUGUGCUGCAGUUGGGAGGCUGUUUGUACUUUAUUCUUGUCAAAGGGAACUGACUACCACAGAACACUGUUGCUAUUCCAGCUUGUGUACAUUUUUUCACAAAUUAAUCAACCAACAAACACCCAACAAUAGUAAUUUAUAAAAGUAUACAUUCGCCCCCCCAUCCUUUUAGUUUAAAACACUAAAGUUUCUAUUUACUUAUUAAACAGUAAAACUCUAAAUCUAUUCCCGUUAAGAACAUUUUACCAUGUUCAACUUGCAAGGUGAGGGAGUUGUGGAUUUAAAUCGCUGAUAAUUUGCAUGCCUGUAUUAAAAAAAAAAUAAAAAAAUAACAAUAAUAAUAAUAAUAAUAAUGGGUACCGGCAUUGCAUUUGAUCAGAUUACAGGACAGCUGUUCAACUGAUCAGCUGCUCUAAAUGCAGUCUUUUUACAUGCAUUACAUCUGCAAAGCUACACUGUGGUGUUACUGGAACCAAAUCAGAUUCUGUUGCUCAGCCUCAUUAAAAGUCCUUAGUAACUGAUUAAAACUAAACCCCUUCAAGACCUAGGCGUGCCAAGAGCAUGCCCCAAGGUUAAUCCCAUUUCUAAUCCUAUCAUCAAAUUAUGUGUAAUAUU
This is a long non-coding RNA of Polyodon spathula (Mississippi paddlefish), 1182 nucleotides long. RefSeq lists it as uncharacterized. Lineage: Eukaryota; Metazoa; Chordata; Actinopteri; Acipenseriformes; Polyodontidae. The transcript has 2 exons. The record is from RefSeq and is a predicted model, not a curated record.